UCCGGUUUAUCACCGGCAGUCCCUGCAGAGUCCUCGGCCGGCUUACGCCGCCGUUAGCAACAGCAGGCAGGGGUUGCGCUCGUUGCGCCACUUAAGGCAACACCUCACGGCACGAGCUGACGACAGCCAUGUACCACCUGUGCAGGCUCCGAAGAGCACCCGCUUUCACCGGGGUUUCACUAGGAUGUCAAGCCCAGGUAAGGUUCUUCGCGUUGCUUCGAAUUAAACCACAUGCUCCACCGCUUGUGCGGGCCCCCGUCAAUUCCUUUGAGUUUCAGCCUUGCGGCCGUACUCCCCAGGCGGGGCGCUUAAUGCGUUAGCUGCGGCACGGAACUCGUGGAAUGAGUCCCACACCUAGCGCCCAACGUUUACGGUGUGGACUAC
RNAcentral lists this unclassified non-coding RNA (384 nucleotides) under uncultured bacterium. RNAcentral describes it as "contains 16S-23S intergenic spacer region". The record is from RNAcentral.